RNAcentral lists this transfer RNA (77 nucleotides) under Paenibacillus sp. FSL R5-808. RNAcentral's name for it is "tRNA-Asn". It matches the Rfam family "tRNA". From Rfam's summary of the family: Transfer RNA (tRNA) molecules are approximately 80 nucleotides in length. Their secondary structure includes four short double-helical elements and three loops (D, anti-codon, and T loops). Lineage: Bacteria; Bacillati; Bacillota; Bacilli; Caryophanales; Paenibacillaceae. The record is from RNAcentral.
UCCCUGAUAGCUCAGUUUGGUAGAGCACUCGACUGUUAAUCGAGUUGUCACAGGUUCGAGUCCUGUUCGGGGAGCCA